This 253-nucleotide ribosomal RNA is filed under the name uncultured bacterium. RNAcentral describes it as "partial 16S ribosomal RNA". It matches the Rfam family "Bacterial small subunit ribosomal RNA", at positions 524 to 776 of the family's 1533-position model. The record is from RNAcentral. RNAcentral also lists the same sequence under 1 other name.
UACGGAGGAUGCAAGCGUUAUCCGGAAUUAUUGGGCGUAAAGCGUCCGUAGGUGGUUGUUCAAGUCUGCUGUCAAAGCGUGGAGCUCAACUCCAUAACGGCAGUGGAAACUGGGCGACUAGAGUGCGAUAGGGGUAACGGGAAUUCCCAGUGUAGCGGUGAAAUGCGUAGAGAUUGGGAAGAACACCAGCGGCGAAAGCGCGUUACUGGGUCUGCACUGACACUGAGGGACGAAAGCUAGGGGAGCGAAAGGG